GGCACUGCCUGCCCAGUGACAAUCGUUAAACGGCCGCGGUAUCUUGACCGUGCAAAGGUAGCAUAAUCACUUGUUCUCUAAAUAAGGACUUGUAUGAAUGGCCACACGAAGGUUUUACUGUCUCUUACUCUUAAUCAGUGAAAUUGACCUCCCCGUGAAGAGGCGGGGAUAACACAAUAAGACGAGAAGACCCUAUGGAGCUUUAAUUAAUCAACUCAAAAAGCAUAAAACAAUACCACCAAGGGAUAACAAAGCCUUAUAUGAGUUGACAAUUUCGGUUGGGGUGACCUCGGAGUAUAAAAAACCCUCCGAGUGAUUAAAACUUAGGCCUACCAGCCAAAGUAUAGUAUCACUUAUUGAUCCAAAAUUUUGAUCAACGGAACAAGUUACCCUAGGGAUAACAGCGCAAUCCUAUUCUAGAGUCCAUAUCGACAAUAGGGUUUACGACCUCGAUGUUGGAUCAGGACAUCCUGAUGGUGCAGCAGCUAUCAAGGGUUCGUUUGUU
This 505-nucleotide ribosomal RNA is filed under the name Aethalodelphis obliquidens (Pacific white-sided dolphin). Its description in RNAcentral is "Sagmatias obliquidens partial 16S ribosomal RNA". It matches the Rfam family "Bacterial large subunit ribosomal RNA", at positions 1851 to 2581 of the family's 2925-position model. Lineage: Eukaryota; Metazoa; Chordata; Mammalia; Artiodactyla; Delphinidae. The record is from RNAcentral.